This is a long non-coding RNA of Lolium perenne, 806 nucleotides long. RefSeq lists it as uncharacterized. Lineage: Eukaryota; Viridiplantae; Streptophyta; Magnoliopsida; Poales; Poaceae. The record is from RefSeq and is a predicted model, not a curated record.
CCUGCGCCGUUCCCGUGUCCACAAGCAAGUACUUCUUCUUCCCCAACCACACACCGGACCAGGAAUUCCAGUGCCUGAUAAAUCCUGUAGCAGCCGCAAGUAAACCCCCCUGAUCCGCCGGAGCUGUAGAGGGCUAACUGGGGAGAAAGACCCUCUCGUCUGAAGGCAAAAUGUCCACCAAGGACCCCGGCGACGAUCUAGUUGUUGACGCGGCACCAACGUCGGCGGCGGAGUGCAGAUCCGACCAGAACUGCUUGAAGGAGGGGGAAGCCAUGCUCAUGUUCAAUUCAGUGCCAGGGGAGGACGAACCAGAUGCCCAAUCUUGUGUACCUCGAUCCCCGGUGACGGUGGAUGGGCCUCCAAGUCCAAGGGAUUCAUCCAGCGGGGCGUCGGCGUGUACAUCAGUGGACGGCUAACUAGCUAAACUAUCUGGAUUUGAAGCCGGCCUACGAUGAUUUUGAAUCUCUAAAGCAAUGGGCAGCUGCGGGUGGUCUUCUUCCUACUCCACCUCUCCUUAAAUAGUGAUCGCCGGUAAAAAUGAACGUUGCCGCCCGUUAUACAGUGCGGAUUCGCUUCUCCAUGGUCGAACGGUCGGGUUCGUCCUGCUGUACGAACAGUUUGGCUGCAGGUGGUGUCGGCCAUGGACCAGCUAGGUGUGCUGUACAUCGGCGCGUAUACUAGGAUUAUACCUGACUUAUGUGAAUAAAUGGCUUAGUGGUCCAUGUUGUUGCACGAAUCCUGAGUUAAUUACAGCCUUGGAUGCGGCCGGCUCAAAUGCCCGGCGGUUCAACUAAGAGUUUUCCCUA